UGAUUCCCCUAGUAACGGCGAGUGAAGAGGGAAAAGCUCAAAGUUGGAACCUGGCUGCCCUAGGCAGUCCGGAUUGUAAACUAAAGAGCGUGAUUCCAGGCAAGCCGGUUGACCAAGUCCUUUGGAAUGAGGCGCCACUGAGGGUGAGAGCCCCGUAAGUCGACUGAGCAUUUGUCUUUUGUGCUUCGCGUUCAAAGAGUCAGGUUGUUUGGGAAUGCAGCCUAAAGCUGGUGGUAAAUCCCACCUAAAGCUAAAUACAGGCGAGAGACCGAUAGCGAACAAGUACCGUGAGGGAAAGAUGAAAAGAACUUUGAAAAGAGAGUUAAACAGUAUGUGAAAUUGCCAAGAGGGAAGCAUUUGGAGUUAGAUUGACUAGGAGUUAAUCAGCUUGGUCUUUGGACUGGGUGUACUUGACUUCUUACAGUCUGCCAAUAGCAGUUAGUCCUAGUGGAAAAAACCAGAGGGAAGGUAGUCCUUCGGGAUGUUUAUAGACCUUUGGAAAAUACACUGGGAUUGACUGAGGAAUGCAGUAGAUGCCACUAAGGCUUCGUCUAGUGGGUGCUAGGCAAAGGUACUUGGUAUUUUCAGCUUGCUGAUGUGCUAGGUUACUCGAGUCUAGUCGCCUACUAGAACUGUAAUC
RNAcentral lists this ribosomal RNA (640 nucleotides) under Lichtheimia ramosa. RNAcentral describes it as "eukaryotic LSU rRNA". It matches the Rfam family "Eukaryotic large subunit ribosomal RNA", at positions 72 to 614 of the family's 3401-position model. Lineage: Eukaryota; Fungi; Mucoromycota; Mucoromycetes; Mucorales; Lichtheimiaceae. The record is from RNAcentral.